Molecule: ribosomal RNA, 467 nt
Filed under: uncultured bacterium
Lineage: Bacteria
Description: partial 16S ribosomal RNA
Rfam family: Bacterial small subunit ribosomal RNA
Source: RNAcentral
GACGAACGCUGGCGGCGUGCUUAACACAUGCAAGUCGAACGGAAAGGCCCUGCUUUUGUGGGGUGCUCGAGUGGCGAACGGGUGAGUAACACGUGAGUAACCUGCCCUUGACUUUGGGAUAACUUCAGGAAACUGGGGCUAAUACCGGAUAGGAGCUCCUGCUGCAUGGUGGGGGUUGGAAAGUUUCGGCGGUUGGGGAUGGACUCGCGGCUUAUCAGCUUGUUGGUGGGGUAGUGGCUUACCAAGGCUUUGACGGGUAGCCGGCCUGAGAGGGUGACCGGCCACAUUGGGACUGAGUUACGGCCCAGACUCCUACGGGAGGCAGGAGUGGGGAAUAUUGCACAAUGGGCGGAAGCCUGAUGCAGCAACGCCGCGUGCGGGAUGACGGCCUUCGGGUGGUAAACCGAUUUCGCCUGUGACGAAGCGUGAGUGACGGUAAUGGGUAAAGAAGCACCGGCUAACUACGG